UCCGCCUUAGCUCAAUGGUCAGAGCGCUGCGCUGUGGACGCAGAGACUCAGGUUCGACUCCUGGAGGCGGGACCA
RNAcentral lists this transfer RNA (75 nucleotides) under Gemmobacter caeni. RNAcentral describes it as "tRNA-His". It matches the Rfam family "tRNA". From Rfam's summary of the family: Transfer RNA (tRNA) molecules are approximately 80 nucleotides in length. Their secondary structure includes four short double-helical elements and three loops (D, anti-codon, and T loops). Lineage: Bacteria; Pseudomonadati; Pseudomonadota; Alphaproteobacteria; Rhodobacterales; Paracoccaceae. The record is from RNAcentral.